This 497-nucleotide ribosomal RNA is filed under the name uncultured bacterium. RNAcentral's name for it is "partial 16S ribosomal RNA". It matches the Rfam family "Bacterial small subunit ribosomal RNA", at positions 28 to 507 of the family's 1533-position model. The record is from RNAcentral.
GAUGAACGCUGGCGGCGUGCCUAAUACAUGCAAGUCGAGCGAACGGACGAGAAGCUUGCUUCUCUGAUGUUAGCGGCGGACGGGUGAGUAGCACGUGGAUAACCUACCUAUAAGACUGGGAUAACUUCGGGAAACCGGAGCUAAUACCGGAUAAUAUUUUGAACCGCAUGGUUCAAAAGUGAAAGACGGUCUUGCUGUCACUUAUAGAUGGAUCCGCGCUGCAUUAGAUAGUUGGUAAGGUAACGGCUUACCAAGGCAACGAUGCAUAGCCGACCUGAGAGGGUGAUCGGCCACACUGGAACUGAGACACGGUCCAGACUCCUACGGGAGGCAGCAGUAGGGAAUCUUCCGCAAUGGGCGAAAGCCUGACGGAGCAACGCCGCGUGAGUGAUGAAGGUCUUCGGAUCGUAAAACUCUGUUAUUAGGGAAGAACAUAUGUGUAAGUAACUGUGCACAUCUUGACGGUACCUAAUCAGAAAGCCACGGCUAACUACGUG